CACUGAGGUUGGGCAGCCAUGGGAAAGGUCUUUAAAAAAAAAAAGAAAAGAAAAAACAAAAUUCAAAACCUUAAAAAAAAAACCCCAACUCCCCUCUCUGUAGAGGUAAUGUAGUGGGAAUGUGACUUUGUGACUGUGUGGGCAUGAGCCUGUGUCAGAGUCCCUGCAGGUGCUGUGUGAGACUAACGCAGAAAAGGCUUUUAAAGGGGGAAGGAGGGAAUUGUGCUGUGUUCAACACAAACCCACCCGAAAUUACAGCGGUCCACGAGAGCUAAGGACUUGGACAACUGUUCGCAUGCUGUCACGGAGGUACAAGACAACAACUUCACUCAGUAGUAAUAUUCCAUUCCCAACAAAUGGCUGUACCAGGAUUAUUUUCUGCAGCUGAAGUGGCAGCCUGGAGUGAGGUCAUGCUGAAGAUACUGCAGGGCAGAACCAGCAGAGUGAGUGCCCGUGCUGGACUCUUCAACCUCCAUGCAGAAAUGCAUAUGGUGUAUUCAAGGGUGAAUAUACUGCCUUGUGGCAGCUCUGCAAACUCUUCCCUUUUUGAAAAGAUACCUUUUAGGAUAUCUGCCUCCACC
Long non-coding RNA from Lepidothrix coronata (blue-crowned manakin), 581 nucleotides. RefSeq lists it as uncharacterized. The transcript is spliced from 3 exons. The record is from RefSeq and is a predicted model, not a curated record. NCBI's taxonomy places the organism in Eukaryota, Metazoa, Chordata, Aves, Passeriformes, Pipridae.